UGGAAUUCCAGGGGAUCAGCCUGGAGGAGCGGAAGGAGGGGCCGGUGCGCCGUCAGAAGACUGUCAUCAGCCGGCAGUGUGAGCUCAGUAUUACCGUUUAUUGGUGACAAACUCUUGAGUUUUAUUUACAUAACAUGGGAGAAGAUCUUCUAGUGUAAACAAUCAUUUGGCGUAGUACUGAACUUGCAAGGCUACCAUGCUUUUCAUCUGGAUCAUAUGCAGGACCUUGUCAGACACAUUUCUGUGCACAGUUGUGUGAUGUCAAGAGCAACACGGUUUAGAGGAAGACUCUGCCCACACCAACAGAGUUUAAAGGUCAAUAUUUUUCUCAAUGAAGACACCCAAGACAGAUUUGUAAAAUUUCCAAGAGACCUAAGGCAGAGCGGAGAAAUUUGCAUGACUCUUGAUCCAACGAAGUUUCAAUCGGACUUGACAGGCUGGAAGCACCGUUGAAAACAAGAAGAUGAAAUGAAACUCAGAAAAAUGUAAACAACUCAUUUUGUCUGGGGAAAAAAAAAAGAAAAAUCAAUGCCAGGGAUUCUGCAAAUUCUAAAGGUUCCACAAGGAAGAACUUGUCUCUGCUGAAUGCAAUGUCAGAUGUGGAGGUUGUGGGAGCCACUUUCAAGGUGUCUUCACUCACUUGGGGACCCGAGUGGAACAGUGCUUCAACUUCCAUUUGGACAUCCAUUUCUUCACCUGACUAUUUCUGCUUCUGGGGGCGAUCCUUGAUCCAGACCUUGCUAAUCAAAACACUGGUACGAGCAGUCGCCAGAUUGACCCCUGAGCUGGCCCCACCUGUUGGAUGUCCUGGCUUGUGGACUGGUCCCUGCUUGUCCCCCAGGCCCACCUCUCUCUCCACUUGGAUGCAGAGCGAUCUCAGGGGGUCCUGAUUGUCUCCAGCUUCUCGCCUGGCACUUCGGCUUCCCUGGUGGCUCAGAU
This is a non-coding RNA of Odocoileus virginianus texanus, 939 nucleotides long. NCBI's taxonomy places the organism in Eukaryota, Metazoa, Chordata, Mammalia, Artiodactyla, Cervidae. The record is from RefSeq and is a predicted model, not a curated record.